This 253-nucleotide ribosomal RNA is filed under the name uncultured bacterium. RNAcentral's name for it is "partial 16S ribosomal RNA". It matches the Rfam family "Bacterial small subunit ribosomal RNA", at positions 524 to 776 of the family's 1533-position model. The record is from RNAcentral.
UACGGAGGGGGCAAGCGUUAUCCGGAUUUACUGGGUGUAAAGGGAGCGUAGACGGCAAUGCAAGUCUGGAGUGAAAGGCGGGGGCCCAACCCCCGGACUGCUCUGGAAACUGUAUAGCUGGAGUGCAGGAGAGGUAAGUGGAAUUCCUAGUGUAGCGGUGAAAUGCGUAGAUAUUAGGAGGAACACCAGUGGCGAAGGCGGCUUACUGGACUGUAACUGACGUUGAGGCUCGAAAGCGUGGGGAGCAAACAGG